Molecule: transfer RNA, 72 nt
Filed under: Bos taurus (domestic cattle)
Lineage: Eukaryota; Metazoa; Chordata; Mammalia; Artiodactyla; Bovidae
Also listed under: 2 other names
Rfam family: tRNA
About the family: Transfer RNA (tRNA) molecules are approximately 80 nucleotides in length.
Source: Rfam by way of RNAcentral
UCCCUCGUAGCUCAGAUGGUAAAGAAUCUGCCUGCAAUGCAGAAGACCCAGGUUUGAUUCCUGGGUUGGGAA